RNAcentral lists this long non-coding RNA (949 nucleotides) under Callithrix jacchus (white-tufted-ear marmoset). Its description in RNAcentral is "lncRNA (ENSCJAG00000087026.1)". Lineage: Eukaryota; Metazoa; Chordata; Mammalia; Primates; Cebidae. The record is from RNAcentral.
CAUGUCUCUCUUGGCCCCCAGCACUGAUGGUGCCAGCUGUUAGCCAACCGUAGGGAUGAAUUUCAAAACAACAAGCACAGAAGUAGAAGGGUGCUGGAGGGGCAGAUAUGUUUUUCCUCUGACUAUCCUAAACCCUCCCACAAAGCCCCUCGCUUCCCAGGCCAUGUUUUUGUGGUGAAGAUUGACCACGGACCAGCAUCUGCAGGCAGACAUUCAAUCAAUCUAGCCCUGGGCUACAGGAUCAAACACAGGACACCCUGUUCAACUGGAAUUUCAGAUAGGUAAGCGUUUUUUAAAAAUAUAAGUAUGUCCCAAAUAUUGCAUAGGACAUAAAAAGUUACUUGUUGUCUAUCUGAAAUUCCAAUGUAAGUGGACAUCUUUCAUCUGUAUUUGCUUAAUUUCACAACCUUACUCCUACCUAGCCUGUGAGCUUCACCUCUGGACAGCAACCCCAAAACUAUCUUCAGAGUUCAAGCCUGUGGUUCAAGCCUGGGCACAACUUUUCAAGAAGCCCCAGAGUCUCACUCUCAUAUAGGCUGGAGUGCAGUGACAUGGUCUCAGCUCACUGCAACCUCCACCUCCUGGAUUCAAGUGAUUCUCCUGCCUCAGCCUCCCGAGUACCUGGGAUCACAGGUAUGCAACACCAUACGGCUAAUUUUUGUAUAUAUAGUAAAGAUGGGGUUUCACCAGGUUGGCCAGGCUGGUCUUGAACCUCAAGUGAUCUGUCUACCUUGGCCUCCCAAAUUGCUGGGAUUACAGGCAUGAUCCACCGUGCCUGGCCAGGAUUGUUUAUCUUGUUACUCUUCAUUUGUACUUCUUUAUAUGUUCUGGAAAUAAACCCUUUGUCACACACACACACACACACAUGCACACACAAGCACACACAGUGACUAUUGUUUCCCAGUCUUUGGUUUGCCUAUUAGUUUUGUUAAUGGUGUCUUUUAAUGAG